UGGGAACAAGAUGGACUUGACCGUCAACUGUCGAACAUAUUGAACUCACUGAAGGAAUCUCAAGAGUAUUACUUCUUUGGACUCUGCCUACAGCUUAUUCGUGGGAACAAGAUGGACUUGACCGUCAACUGUCGAACAUAUUGAACUCACUGAAGGAAUCUCAAGAGUAUUACUUCUUUGGACUCUGCCUACAGCUUAUUCGUGGGAACAAGAUGGACUUGACCGUCAACUGUCGAACAUAUUGAACUCACUGAAGGAAUCUCAAGAGUAUUACUUCUUUGGACUCUGCCUACAGCUUAUUCGUGGGAACAAGAUGGACUUGACCGUCAACUGUCGAACAUAUUGAACUCACUGAAGGAAUCUCAAGAGUAUUACUUCUUUGGACUCUGCCUACAGCUUAUUCGUGGGAACAAGAUGGACUUGACCGUCAACUGUCGAACAUAUUGAACUCACUGAAGGGAUCUCAAGAGUAUUACUUCUUUGGAGUAAGAAAGAACUCGACCGAUGACGGUAAAAUUUUCUUCGAAAUCACACAGACGGCAGUACAACUCUUGUCCACGUAGUGAUGAUUGUCUCACUUACAUUACUUGUAUUAUUAUUAUUUUUAUUAACCAUUCCUAGUUGAUUUAGUACCAUAAGCUGGUAAAGUGGGGGAGCUGUAUGAAAUAGCUGUAAAGAUAAAGAGCUUCAAUAUACUGAAGACACCACAUGCAGGUAUUGUUAUCAGUAAUAGUAAGUGUUGUAUACAUCUAAAAUACCUUAAUGUAAGACAAAUACAAUGAUAAAAUACAAUAAAUCAGGUAAA
Molecule: long non-coding RNA, 805 nt
Filed under: Homarus americanus (American lobster)
Lineage: Eukaryota; Metazoa; Arthropoda; Malacostraca; Decapoda; Nephropidae
Description: uncharacterized LOC121873416
Source: RNAcentral